This 253-nucleotide ribosomal RNA is filed under the name uncultured bacterium. Its description in RNAcentral is "partial 16S ribosomal RNA". It matches the Rfam family "Bacterial small subunit ribosomal RNA", at positions 524 to 776 of the family's 1533-position model. The record is from RNAcentral.
UACAGAGGGGGGCAGCGUUAUUCGGAAUUAUUGGGCGUCAAGGGCGCGUAGGCGGCCAUGCGUGUCUUCCGUGAAAUCCCUCGGCUUAACUGAGGACGUGCGGAAGAAACUGCAAGGCUCGAGUCCGGGAGAGGGGGGUGGAAUUCCCAGUGUAGCGGUGAAAUGCGUAGAUAUUGGGAGGAACACCGGUGGCGAAGGCGGCCCCCUGGACCGGUACUGACGCUGAGGCGCGAAAGCGUGGGUAGCAAACGGG